This 254-nucleotide ribosomal RNA is filed under the name uncultured bacterium. RNAcentral describes it as "partial 16S ribosomal RNA". It matches the Rfam family "Bacterial small subunit ribosomal RNA", at positions 524 to 776 of the family's 1533-position model. The record is from RNAcentral.
UACGAAGGGGGCUAGCGUUGCUCGGAAUCACUGGGCGUAAAGGGCGCGUAGGCGGCCACCGCAAGUCGGUUGUGAAAUCUCUGGGCUUAACCCAGAAAGGUCAACCGAUACUGCGGGGCUAGAGUGCAGAAGGGGCAACUGGAAUUCUCGGUGUAGCGGUGAAAUGCGUAGAUAUCGAGAGGAACACCUGCGGCGAAGGCGGGUUGCUGGGCUGACACUGACGCUGAAGCGCGAAAGCUAGGGGAGCGAACGGG